GAUGAACGCUGGCGGCGUGCCUAAUACAUGCAAGUCGAGCGAACAGACGAGGAGCUUGCUCCUCUGACGUUAGCGGCGGACGGGUGAGUAACACGUGGAUACCUACCUAUAAGACUGGGAUAACUUCGGGAAACCGGAGCUAAUACCGGAUAAUAUAUUGAACCGCAUGGUUCAAUAGUGAAAGACGGUUUUGCUGUCACUUAUAGAUGGAUCCGCGCCGCAUUAGCUAGUUGGUAAGGUAACGGCUUACCAAGGCAACGAUGCGUAGCCGACCUGAGAGGGUGAUCGGCCACACUGGAACUGAGACACGGUCCAGACUCCUACGGGAGGCAGCAGUAGGGAAUCUUCCGCAAUGGGCGAAAGCCUGACGGAGCAACGCCGCGUGAGUGAUGAAGGUCUUCGGAUCGUAAAACUCUGUUAUUAGGGAAGAACAAAUGUGUAAGUAACUAUGCACGUCUUGACGGUACCUAAUCAGAAAGCCACGGCUAACUACGUG
Molecule: ribosomal RNA, 496 nt
Filed under: uncultured bacterium
Lineage: Bacteria
Description: partial 16S ribosomal RNA
Rfam family: Bacterial small subunit ribosomal RNA
Source: RNAcentral